RNAcentral lists this ribosomal RNA (63 nucleotides) under Amyda cartilaginea (black-rayed soft-shelled turtle). RNAcentral describes it as "partial 12S ribosomal RNA". The record is from RNAcentral. Lineage: Eukaryota; Metazoa; Chordata; Testudines; Trionychidae.
CUACAUUUUCUACAAUAGAAAUAACUACGGAACAGAACCAUGAAACAUGAUCUGAAUAAAGAA